AUGCUAUGCAUGAAUUAUGUUUUGGAUGGAUUUUCAGUGUUUUGUGCAAACCUUAUUUUUCAGGGUGAACCUGGUCCAAAAGGAGAGAAGGGUGCAUGCGGAGAGUACACUCACAGGAAACGCCGUAUUGUCAACGCCUCAGCUGGAGGACAGGCCACACAGGGUGAGCCUGGAGCACAAGGACCACCGGGACCUCCUGGCCCCCCAGGCCCACCUGGGCCUCUUGGCCUAACUGGUGCUAUUGGGCCUCCGGUAAGUCGAAAUCUUCUGCAUUAGAAAAUGAUUCCCCACAAGCUCUUUGUUUUUCAAAUAUAUUACAUGGCUUUAUGAAAUAAUUAGUUUAGAUUUUUUUAUUGAUGUAUUUC
RNAcentral lists this long non-coding RNA (365 nucleotides) under Danio rerio (zebrafish). RNAcentral's name for it is "lncRNA (ENSDARG00000117431.1)". Lineage: Eukaryota; Metazoa; Chordata; Actinopteri; Cypriniformes; Danionidae. The record is from RNAcentral.